RNAcentral lists this ribosomal RNA (450 nucleotides) under uncultured bacterium. RNAcentral describes it as "bacterial SSU rRNA". It matches the Rfam family "Bacterial small subunit ribosomal RNA", at positions 29 to 526 of the family's 1533-position model. The record is from RNAcentral.
AGCGAACGCUGGCGGCAGGCUUAACACAUGCAAGUCGAACGCCCCGCAAGGGGAGUGGCAGACGGGUGAGGAACACGUGGGAAUAUGCCCUUUGGUUCGGAAUAACUCAGGGAAACUUGAGCUAAUACCGAAUAAGCGCGAAAGCGGAAAGAUUUAUCGCCGAAGGAGUAGCCCGCGUCUGAUUAGCUUGUUGGUGAGGUAACGGCUCACCAAGGCGACGAUCAGUAGCUGGUCUGAGAGGAUGAUCAGCCACACUGGGACUGAGACACGGCCCAGACUCCUACGGGAGGCAGCAGUGGGGAAUAUUGGACAAUGGGCGCAAGCCUGAUCCAGCCAUGCCGCGUGAGUGAUGAAGGCCUUAGGGUUGUAAAGCUCUUUUGUCCGGGAAGAUAAUGACUGUACCGGAAGAAUAAGCCCCGGCUAACUUCGUGCCAGCCGCCGCCGUAAAAC